CGCAACAAACCUACGCAUUGUGGGACCCGGUGAGGUGGCUGCCCGUCAGCGAGAUCAGGAUGUCGAGGCGGCUCGACGCGCGAGCCCCUGCGCCACCUCCUCAACUCCUCUGCUCAGACGGGAUACCAGUUGACCAGACACGGACGGCGGCGAGCCGGCGACCAUCUUCCACUACCCAACAUCGCCUCGGCCAGCUGUAGAAACGUAGCACCGCCGCCAGUUCGUCUUGCAGAAUUGAAUCAGACAUUAUUGAUGGACACCCCCGCCGUUGUCGAGGAGUGGACUGCUUAGUCUGACGGUUGGAGUGCAACCAGGUGUGUCGUCCCCUUCUACUUAAGCGAGAUAGAAAUACCAAUCGGUGGGUGUGUAUGUUGGUUCUUAACAUCACUGGAUCAAAUGACUCCGCUGCGCACUGCUGCCUCAAGUUCGCUGGAAGCAGGUGAGGCAAUCAUAGAUGUGCAUGCUCCAGGAUACCUCCCAGUCAAUGCUUCAAAUCAUCAGACCUUGAUGCCAUCCAUUGUCAUAGAGGAGAUCAAUGCUUCAAAUCAUCAGACCUUGAUGCCAUCCCUUGUCAUAGACCUUGAUGCCUUAUUGUAGUUGUAGAAAAUAUAAGAUGGCUGAAUAUUGUGUUGUAUUGAUCUGACCCGUGUAAGGGUAUAUAUAGAGGUACAAUGGAGGGGGAGAGACUUGGAGUAGAGGACAAGUUAAACCUAUCCUAUUUUUAUCUCUUAUCUCUAUCUUAAACGUAAA
Triticum aestivum (bread wheat) is the source of this 750-nucleotide long non-coding RNA. RefSeq lists it as uncharacterized. The record is from RefSeq and is a predicted model, not a curated record. Lineage: Eukaryota; Viridiplantae; Streptophyta; Magnoliopsida; Poales; Poaceae. The transcript is spliced from 4 exons.